RNAcentral lists this ribosomal RNA (892 nucleotides) under uncultured Sebacinales. RNAcentral's name for it is "eukaryotic LSU rRNA". The stretch from base 209 to 892 matches the Rfam family "Eukaryotic large subunit ribosomal RNA", at positions 1 to 666 of the family's 3401-position model. Lineage: Eukaryota; Fungi; Basidiomycota; Agaricomycetes; Sebacinales. The record is from RNAcentral.
UGUAAUCUCACUCCACUGGCUUUUGCUGAUGGAUGUGGACCUGGACUCUGUUGUGUUACUACAACUGGUCUGAAAUGCAUGAGUGCAUCCUGCCGUUGCUGUGUUUUCAGUGUGAUAAGCAUCUUCACUGGACCAAGUUCCCUUUGGGACAUGCAUGCAUUGUGGGCUCUCUGUGCUGGCCAACUGUCUUUGGACAACCUUGACAAUUUGACCUCAGAUCGGGUGGGACUACCCGCUGAACUUAAGCAUAUCAAUAAGCGGAGGAAAAGAAACUAACAAGGAUUCCCCUAGUAACGGCGAGUGAAGAGGGAAAAGCUCAAAUUUUGAAUCUGGUGUCUUUGGCGCCUGAGUUGUAAUCUAGAGAAGUGUUUUCUGCCUCGGACCACACAUAAAUUCCCUGGAAUGGGGUGUCAUAGAGGGUGAGAAUCCCGUUUGUGGUGUGGACUACCUUGGCUCUGUGAUACACUCUCAACGAGUCGAGUUGUUUGGGAAUGCAGCUCAAAAUGGGUGGUAAAUUCCAUCUAAAGCUAAAUACUGGCGAGAGACCGAUAGCGAACAAGUACCGUGAGGGAAAGAUGAAAAGCACUUUGGAAAGAGAGUGAAACAGUACGUGAAAUUGUUGAAAGGGAAGCGUUUGAAGUCAGUCACAUUGGUUGGAAUUCAGCCUGGCUUCUGCCUGGUGUACUUUCUGGCAAAUGGGUCAGCAUCAAUUUUGACCGAGGGAGAAAGACUUGAGGAAUGUGGCUGUCUUCGGGCAGUGUUAUAGCCUCUUGUUGUAUGUCUCGGUUGGGAUUGAGGAUCGCAGCACGCCCUAUGGCCGGGGUUCGCGCCCUCGGUACGUGCUUAGGAUGCUGGCAUAAUGGCUUUAAGCGACCCGUCUUGAAACACGGAC